CCUACGGGUGGCUGCAGUGGGGAAUAUUGGGCAAUGGGCGCAAGCCUGACCCAGCAACGCCGCGUGAAGGAUGAAGGCUUUCGGGUUGUAAAGUUCUUUUGUCAGGGAAGAAUAGAGGACGGUACCUGAAGAAUAAGGCACGGCUAACUACGGGCCAGCAGCCGCGGUAAUACGUAGGUGGCAAGCGGUGUCCGGAUUUACUGGGGGUAAAGGGCGUGUAGCCGGGUUGGCAAGUCAGAUGUGAAAUCCUGAGGCUUAACCGCAGAACUGCAUUUGAAACUGUUGAUCUUGAGUGCUGGAGAGGCAGACGGAAUUCCUAGUGUAGCGGUGGAAUGCGUAGAUAUUAGGAGGAACACCAGUGGCGAAGGCGGGCUGCUGGACAGUAACUGACGGUGAGGCGCGAAAGCGUGGGGAGCAAACAGGAUUAGAUACCCUAGUAGUC
Molecule: ribosomal RNA, 442 nt
Filed under: uncultured bacterium
Lineage: Bacteria
Description: partial 16S ribosomal RNA
Rfam family: Bacterial small subunit ribosomal RNA
Source: RNAcentral